CAAAAACAUAAAGUUUGGUGGGAAUGUAAAUUGGUAUAGACACAAUGGAAAACAAUAUGGCAGUUCCUCAAAAAAUUAAAAAUGUGAUCCGGCCAUUCCACUUCUGGGUAUUUACCCAAACGAACUGAAAGCAAGGUCUUGAACAGAUAUUUGUGCACCCUUGUUUAUAGCAGCACUAUUCACCAUAGCUAAACGGUACAUCCAGCCUGAGUGUCCAUGGACGAACAAAUGGAUACACAAAGUGUAGUAUAUACAUGUAUACAAUGGAAUAUUAUUCAGCCUUAAAAAGGAAGGCCAUUGGGACAUAUGUUACAACAUGGAUGAACCUUGAGGACAUGAUGCUAACAAUGAGGUACUUAGAGUAGUCAGAUUUAUAGAGACAGAAAGUAGCAUGGUGGUUGCAGGGACUAGGGGGUGGGGAGAAUGGGAGCUAAUGUUUGAUGGAGACACAGCUUCCGUUUGGAAACAUGAAAACAAUUCUGGAGAUGGAUGGUGGUGAUUGUUGCAAAAUAACGUAAAUGUAGUUAAUGCCACUGAAAUGUAUACUUAAAAUGGUAAAUUUUAUAUUAUAUAUAUUUUACCACAAUAAAAAAAAAAAUGCGGGCUGAGUGCAGUGGCUCAUACCUGUAAUUCCAGCAUUUUGGGAGGCCGAGGAGGGAGGAUCACUUGAGCCCAGGAGUUUGAGACCAGCUAGGGCAACAUGGCAAAACCUCAUCUCUACAAAAAAUAAAAAUAAAAGGCUGGGCACGAUGGCUCACGCCUGUAAUCCCAGCACUUUGGGAGGCCGAGGCAGGAGGAUCAGGUCAGGAAAUCGAGACCAUCCUGGCUAACAUGGUGAAAACCCAUCUAUACCAAAACUACAAAAAUUAGCCGAGCACGGUGGCAUGUGCCUGUAAUCCCAGCUACUCGGGAGGCUGAGGGAGGAGAAUCUCUUGAACCCAGGAGGUGGAGGUUGCAGUGAGCGUGCCACUGUACUCCACCCUGGGCGACAGAGCCAGACUCAGUAUCAAAAAAAAAAUAAUAAUAAAAUAAGGCCGGGCACAGUGGCUCACGUCCAUAAUCCCAGCACUUUGGGAGGCCAAGGUGGGCAGAUCACCUGAGGUGAGGAGUUCGAGACCAACAAGACAAAAUCCUGUCUCUACUAAAAAUACAAAAAUUGGCCUACAAAAAUUAGCUGGGCACCGGGUGCGGUGGUCCACGCUCUUUUGCUGUGUGGUGUCUGCUCUGUCUUCACUCUGGUUCCUCAGUGCCUGUGCUUACAUAUGAGUUAUCUGGCUGGUAGCUCCGAUUUGGCUCAGAAUCACAUCUGAUCACAUUAAUGAGCCCUGACACUCCCUGACCUCCCUGCUAGGCAUUCCUGAUCACGUUGUUUUCUUCGUAGCCUUUACCACUGCUGGAAAUCAUCUCUUAUUUGUUUACCAAUUUAAUAUCCCCCUUCCAACUAGAAUUUAAACUCUUAGAGAGCAGGGAUGGCGUCUGCCUUGUAUCCCCAGCACCCGGAGCCGUGCCUUGUAUACUGGAGAUGCUCAGUAAACAGCCGUGGAUGGAAUGAAUCUUGAAGCAGCACUGUUAGACCCUCCCAGCUCCAAGCAUCCCUCCUGCAUGCUCCCUCGGUGCUCUUAAGCUGGAGAAGCUGUUGG
Molecule: long non-coding RNA, 1640 nt
Filed under: Homo sapiens (human)
Lineage: Eukaryota; Metazoa; Chordata; Mammalia; Primates; Hominidae
Description: HSALNT0176737
Source: RNAcentral